This is a microRNA precursor of Anolis carolinensis (green anole), 107 nucleotides long. It matches the Rfam family "mir-223 microRNA precursor family". Lineage: Eukaryota; Metazoa; Chordata; Lepidosauria; Squamata; Anolidae. The record is from Rfam.
ACGGACGCACGCAGGGCUUCCCUCCGUGUAUUUGACGAUCUGAUCGCACACUCCGUCUGCACCAGAGUGUCAGUUUGUCAAAUAUACAAAGGGCGGCCUCUGACCCG